AGUGGCGGACGGGUGAGUAACACGUAGGUAACCUGCCCCGGAGCGGGGGAUAACAUUUGGAAACAGAUGCUAAUACCGCAUAACAACAAAAGCCACAUGGCUUUUGUUUGAAAGAUGGCUUUGGCUAUCACUCUGGGAUGGACCUGCGGUGCAUUAGCUAGUUGGUAAGGUAACGGCUUACCAAGGCGAUGAUGCAUAGCCGAGUUGAGAGACUGAUCGGCCACAAUGGAACUGAGACACGGUCCAUACUCCUACGGGAGGCAGCAGUAGGGAAUCUUCCACAAUGGGCGCAAGCCUGAUGGAGCAACACCGCGUGAGUGAAGAAGGGUUUCGGCUCGUAAAGCUCUG
RNAcentral lists this ribosomal RNA (348 nucleotides) under Lactobacillus sp. RNAcentral describes it as "bacterial SSU rRNA". It matches the Rfam family "Bacterial small subunit ribosomal RNA", at positions 94 to 435 of the family's 1533-position model. Lineage: Bacteria; Bacillati; Bacillota; Bacilli; Lactobacillales; Lactobacillaceae. The record is from RNAcentral.